CCUUUCUAAGGAUGAUCAAGAAUUGGAAGCCUUCAUAAAGUGAGCGCAUUCCUUUUUGAUCUCAUUAGACAUAAAGGUUUAAAUUUAGUCAGUUUAAACAAGCCGACAAUUUAAACCUUGUGCAUAUGAACACGCACUUUAAAAAAAUGGUUCUUUCUUUCAAAGAGGCCCCUACCUCUUAUGAAAGUUCCCACUUUCAAGGUGCUGUGCUCAUGUGUUAAGAUAUACAAGCAGACUAGCCGUCUUCGUUUCUCUUUCUUCAGAUGAUGAUCCCAAGCCUUCUGGCGAUCUAGAAAAAACAAGCCUUAACUUUAGGCUUUCAGAAAACACUUUUGUUUUUAUGAAAUGAUGUGUUUUUAUGAGAUUAUGCCGGGGAAGGUUUUCCGGUUUAUCCCGGAGGGCUUGUAGCUCAGUUGGUUAGAGCGCGCGCUUGAUAAGCGUGAGGUCGGAGGUUCAAGUCCUCCCAGGCCCACCAAUUACUCCAUCUAUUUGCUUUAUCUAUCCCUUUAUUCAGUGGCAGAUAACAGUUUUAUAAAAGGAUUAUGGCGCUUAUCUCUUUUGCUUAAGCACUUCAAAGUUAACCCAGUGCAAAUGUAAAGCGAUGCGAAUUUGCUACAAAUUUUGCACUGUCUAUUUUAACGGUUAGAGCAUAUUUAACAUUUUGAAAUCCUUUAUCCUGUUUUAGGGGCCGUAGCUCAGCUGGGAGAGCACCUGCUUUGCAAGCAGGGGGUCGUCGGUUCGAUCCCGUCCGGCUCCACCAUUUUAGGUCAUCAUCAUUGUUGUGAGAACAGUCUUUGUAAAAGGUUUAAUGAUCUUUUGCUUGUUCUAUUGAAAUUGUGAAGAGAAGAUAUAUUCAGACAUGACUUUUAAUAGUUUUUGUUUUUUUUUAGAAAUAAGAGCUUAAAAGUGAUGUGUCGCAAGGGAAUGCUCAAAGCCCUUGCUUAUGAUUGGAAGCUUAACCGCGCCACUGAGUAUAUCUCGAGAAGCUGGUCUUUUCUGCUGAUAUUUUUGUUUAUUUUGCACAAGAUAAACAGUGAAUGAAUAUUGGCAAUGAGAACG
This 1059-nucleotide transfer RNA is filed under the name Candidatus Bartonella washoeensis. Its description in RNAcentral is "Bartonella washoeensis miscellaneous RNA". The stretch from base 399 to 472 matches the Rfam family "tRNA". Lineage: Bacteria; Pseudomonadati; Pseudomonadota; Alphaproteobacteria; Hyphomicrobiales; Bartonellaceae. The record is from RNAcentral.